UCCGUUCGAUUGAAAUUAGGAAGCAAUCCUAACCAUUUUGGAUUCAACAAACUAAAUCUUAAUCCUAGCCCAAGUAGUAAAGCCCAAGUUAAAUAAACUACCAAGUAAACCCAUAACCCUCUCCUUGUUUUUACUUCACGUAAAACUCAAAUCCCAAACCCUCCUUAUUCCUCCUCCUUCACGUGAAACCAACCUCCUCCCUCUCCUCCUUGCAGCCCCCUCUCCGCCUGCGUCAACCACCAUCAACAGCCGCCGCCGCGACCACCCUUCCACCUGCACGCCGCCGUCGGUAACUCUCCUCUCCCCUCUGUUUCUUCUUCGAUCUCCCUUUCCGUUUAUCACUCCUCCUCUCCCCUUAAUUGUGGCUUUCGUUUUUCGCACAACCACCACCGAGGACCACCAGCAUUCGUCACUACGCCCAGCCACGCACCACCGUGUGCGGCUCUGCCACCAGCCGUCCUCCGUCGAUACCUCUUCCUCUUCCCUUUCGUUUUCUUUUGUUCCCUUUCGUUCCCCUUUCCCUUGUUGUUUAUUCAUCCUCCUCACUCGUGUUAUGUUGUUGCGGCAGCCACCACCGCGCGCACCACCGCCCCAUUGCCGCGCGCACCACCGCCCCAUUGCCGCCGCGCCGCCGCGCCGCUGAACCACCUCCGGCCAGCCUUCUUUCCUUCUCUCUUUUGGCGGAGAAUUCUUUGUGGGCGACUUUUGAAAGUGUUAAAGUGGCCUAUCAGUUUGUUUACACAAGUCUCUAAGGACCAAUAAGCGUUGCCCAUCUACAGGUUUGAAGAUGAUGCAUCAUUGGGAUCGGGAUUAGAGAGCUUGUAGUUCUAUUCGUUUAAUUAAGUGAUUUAAUUUGUUAACUUGGAUUUGAAAUUUGUCGUACUAUUCGUAUUUCCUUAAUUCAGUUAAUUGGUUUGGACCUAAUAUGUAAUAGAUUAUUUAUGAACCUAAAAGUUAGUUUUAUGUUUUCCGCUGCAAAA
Molecule: long non-coding RNA, 980 nt
Organism: Spinacia oleracea (spinach)
Lineage: Eukaryota; Viridiplantae; Streptophyta; Magnoliopsida; Caryophyllales; Amaranthaceae
Exons: 3
Source: RefSeq, a predicted model, not a curated record